Molecule: ribosomal RNA, 209 nt
Filed under: uncultured bacterium
Lineage: Bacteria
Description: partial 16S ribosomal RNA
Rfam family: Bacterial small subunit ribosomal RNA
Source: RNAcentral
GGCGUGUAGGCGGUUAGGCAAGUCAGGUGUGAAAUCCCUUGGCUCAACCAAGGAAGUGCGCUUGAAACUGCUUAACUCGAGUACAGGAGGGGAAAGUGGAAUUCCCAGUGUAGAGGUGAAAUUCAUAGAUAUUGGGAGGAACACCGGUAGCGAAGGCGGCUUUCUGGCCUGAUACUGACGCUGAGACGCGAAAGCGUGGGGAGCAAACA